Molecule: ribosomal RNA, 497 nt
Filed under: uncultured bacterium
Lineage: Bacteria
Description: partial 16S ribosomal RNA
Rfam family: Bacterial small subunit ribosomal RNA
Source: RNAcentral
GAUGAACGCUGGCGGCGUGCCUAAUACAUACAAGUCGAGCGAACGGACGAGAAGCUUGCUUUUCUGAUGUUAGCGGCGGACGGGUGAGUAACACGUGGAUAACCUACCUAUAAGACUGGGAUAACUUCGGGAAACCGGAGCUAAUACCGGAUAAUAUUUUGAACCGCAUGGUUCAAAAGUGAAAGACGGUCUUGCUGUCACUUAUAGAUGGAUCCGCGCUGCAUUAGCUAGUUGGUAAGGUAACGGCUUACCAAGGCAACGAUGCAUAGCCGACCUGAGAGGGUGAUCGGCCGCACUGGAACUGAGACACGGUCCAGACUCCUACGGGAGGCAGCAGUAGGGAAUCUUCCGCAAAGGGCGAAAGCCUGACGGAGCAACGCCGCGUGAGUGAUGAAGGUCUUCGGAUCGUAAAACUCUGUUAUUAGGGAAGAACAUAUGUGUAAGUAACUGUGCACAUCUUGACGGUACCUAAUCAGAAAGCCACGGCUAACUACGUG